GCGGCAACAGCUCAAAUUUGAAAUCUGGUUCCCGCAAGGGGCCCGAGUUGUAAUUUGGAGAAGAUGCUUCGGGCGUGAUGCCGGUCUAAGUUCCUUGGAACAGGACGUCACAGAGGGUGAGAAUCCCGUACGUGACCGCGUGUCUACGCCUAUGUGAAGCUCUUUCGACGAGUCGAGUUGUUUGGGAAUGCAGCUCUAAAUGGGUGGUAAAUUCCAUCUAAAGCUAAAUACCGGCCAGAGACCGAUAGCGCACAAGUAGAGUGAUCGAAAGAUGAAAAGCACUUUGGAAAGAGAGUUAAACAGUACGUGAAAUUGUUGAAAGGGAAGCGCUUGCAACCAGACUUGCGCGCGGCCGAUCAUCCGGGGUUCUCCCCGGUGCACUCGACCGCGUUCAGGCCAGCAUCGGUUUCGGUGGUCGGAUAAAGGUCGCGGGAAUGUAGCUUCUCUCGGGGAGUGUUAUAGCCCGUGGCGACAUGCGACCCACCGGGACCGAGGACCGCGCUUCGGCUAGGAUGCUGGCGUAAUGGUUGUAAGCGGCCCGUCUUGAAACACGGACCAAGGAGUCUAAUAUUUAUGCGAGUAUAUGGGUGCUAAACCCACAUGCGUAAUGAAAGUGAACGGAGGUGAGAACCCGUACGGGCGCAUCAUCGACCGAUCCUGAUGUCUUCGGAUGGAUUUGAGUAAGAGCAUAGCCAUUAGGACCCGAAAGAGUGUGAACUUUACGUGAAUAGGUAAGGCCCCAUGGAAUAAUUAAUGAUGGUAGCGAUGCUAACGAUUAAACAGGGUGAAGCCAGAGGAAACUCUGGUGGAGGCUCGCAGCGGUUCUGACGUGCAAAUCGAUCGUCAAAUUUGCGUAAAGGGGCGAAAGACUAAUCGAACAUUCUAGUAGGUUGCCACCUAAGAUCUUAGG
This 910-nucleotide ribosomal RNA is filed under the name Llimoniella sp. Diederich 17525. Its description in RNAcentral is "LSU rRNA". It matches the Rfam family "Eukaryotic large subunit ribosomal RNA", at positions 98 to 977 of the family's 3401-position model. Lineage: Eukaryota; Fungi; Ascomycota; Leotiomycetes; Helotiales; Cordieritidaceae. The record is from RNAcentral.